RNAcentral lists this ribosomal RNA (890 nucleotides) under Fusarium sporotrichioides var. minus. Its description in RNAcentral is "LSU rRNA". It matches the Rfam family "Eukaryotic large subunit ribosomal RNA", at positions 50 to 965 of the family's 3401-position model. The record is from RNAcentral. Lineage: Eukaryota; Fungi; Ascomycota; Sordariomycetes; Hypocreales; Nectriaceae.
GCGGAAGGAAAAAGAAAACCAAACAGGGGAUUGCCCUAGUAACGGCGAGUGAAGCGGCAACAGCUCAAAUUUGAAAUCUGGCUCUCGGGCCCGAGUUGUAAUUUGUAGAGGAUGACUUUGAUGCGGUGCCUUCCGAGUUCCCUGGAACGGGACGCCAUAGAGGGUGAGAGCCCCGUCUGGUUGGAUGCCAAAUCUCUGUAAGUCUCCUUCGACGAGUCGAGUAGUUUGGGAAUGCUGCUCUAAAUGGGAGGUAUAUGUCUUCUAAAGCUAAAUACCGGCCAGAGACCGAUAGCGCACAAGUAGAGUGAUCGAAAGAUGAAAAGCACUUUGAAAAGAGAGUUAAAAAGUACGUGAAAUUGUUGAAAGGGAAGCGUUUAUGACCAGACUUGGGCUUGGUUAAUCAUCUGGGGUUCUCCCCAGUGCACUUUUCCAGUUCAGGCCAGCAUCAGUUUUCGCCGGGGGAUAAAGACUUCGGGAAUGUGGCUCCUCUCGGGGAGUGUUAUAGCCCGUUGUGUAAUACCCUGGCGGGGACUGAGGUUCGCGCUUCUGCAAGGAUGCUGGCGUAAUGGUCAUCAACGACCCGUCUUGAAACACGGACCAAGGAGUCGUCUUCGUAUGCGAGUGUUCGGGUGUCAAACCCCUACGCGUAAUGAAAGUGAACGCAGGUGAGAGCUUCGGCGCAUCAUCGACCGAUCCUGAUGUUCUCGGAUGGAUUUGAGUAAGAGCAUACGGGGCCGGACCCGAAAGAAGGUGAACUAUGCCUGUGUAGGGUGAAGCCAGAGGAAACUCUGGUGGAGGCUCGCAGCGGUUCUGACGUGCAAAUCGAUCGUCAAACAUGGGCAUGGGGGCGAAAGACUAAUCGAACCUUCUAGUAGCUGGAUUUCCGCGAG